Molecule: long non-coding RNA, 272 nt
Filed under: Panax ginseng (ginseng)
Lineage: Eukaryota; Viridiplantae; Streptophyta; Magnoliopsida; Apiales; Araliaceae
Description: long non-coding RNA (PGIN_LNC003562)
Source: RNAcentral
AAACGUUGAGCGCAAGUAGUAGAAAUAAAGGAAUGCGUAGAAACGGUAUCAAAUAAAGUAUAAACUUCACUAGAGUUUAUGAUUAGCUUACCCAUGAUCACCUCGUUCGGAUUCCUCACUUUUUGGGAGGUUACGACAAACGCUCUCCCUUGAACUACCGGUUUUAUCUUGUCUGGGACACCCUUUGAUGCCUCCAUCCCAGCUAGACUAUACUUUGGUGCAUGACAAAAUCAGGCUAGGUGACCUUCUUUUCCACAAUUAUAACACGCUUU